Long non-coding RNA from Pezoporus flaviventris, 2599 nucleotides. RefSeq lists it as uncharacterized. The record is from RefSeq and is a predicted model, not a curated record. The transcript is spliced from 3 exons. NCBI's taxonomy places the organism in Eukaryota, Metazoa, Chordata, Aves, Psittaciformes, Psittacidae.
AAAUUACCUUUUCCUCUGUUUUCUGCAUUCUUUUAAGGCAAAAAGCACAUUGGACCAGAUCCUGCAGGAGAAGGUUCUAGAAAUCUUCAGAAGGAUUUCUAGUGGCCACGUGUGUGUGCUAGUAUAUGACUGAAGUAGGAAAUUAUCUCUUAAUGUGUGUUAGAAAGUUAUGGACUUUUUUGCAAUGUACUACUUACACCCCAAUAAUUGUUUGCACCCAUAUUUUCAUUCCAGAGUAAAUGAAAGUAAUAUAACAUGUGCUUAAAGUGACAGUUUCCAAUCAAAUCAUGCCUUGCAGAUUCAUAACCUGCCUUUUUCUCACAAUGAGAGAAUGAGCCAUGUAACCCAUCCUAAGUUUUGUAACAGUAUUUCUCAACCUACCAUGUUACUCAAAUUAGUAAUAAAAUAGACAACAAAAAAAUAUUAUCAUAGGAUUUGAGUAGAGUAACUGUUGUGCAAGAGAUGACUUUAAGUGGAUUUUUUUACAGCUAAUAUAGAUUUUUCACUGUAGUCCCUAUACAAAUAGCAUUUCCAAAAAUGAUUUCUUAAGAUAUAAUUGCAGGUAUUCUCAUGAUAUCUGAUGUUUUCCUAUGUAAACAGAGUGAAAAUAUUCAAAAUGGAAAUUGUGCUUCUGCUCAUACUUUGGUUGCUUUUGAGUAAUUACAGUUGGAAACAAUACUAUGCAAAUAGAAGCACUCCUUUAAUGAUAGGAAGUUUUACGUAUAUUUUCAGGUAACUUGUGUAAGUAUAGAACACAAAGAUAAGUGAAAUCAGAUGAGGAAGCAAAUUGUGUAGGAUCUGGCACAAAAAGACUUGAAAGAGAUGAGGUCCUGGGGUUAAAUCUCUUUCGUAACUCUCACAUGCAUAUAAACUAUUAUGCUGUUAAAUCAUGUUGUUUGUUUGGAAUUUUUAAUCUCUAAUGAGUUAUGCACAUGAGGACACAUUAUUCCCGGAGAAGCUUGAAUGGGUUUAUAACAAUCUGACUAUGCAAAUACUUAUAAGUUAGAGGCAGAAAAUAUAACUUCAAAAUGAAAAUCCUAAUCGAAGUUUAAAUUUGGUAUGAGAUUUAAAAAUAAUUGUAUUUUUAGUAUAUAUAGAACAUAAGGUGAUGGAGGGAAAAUAAUUUUGACAAACCUAGUCAUAAAUUCUGUAGACAUAAGCUUCAGCAAGUGGGAUCUUUGAUGACAGCAAUAUAUAAAAAGGAGAAUAGCUGUAAAACAUUUAAUACUAUUUUGCAUAGUUUUCUGUGUUUGUAGAAACACAUUUCAGAAAUAAAUAGACUGAGAAUCUGAGGAAUACUUUCCAAAGAGAUCUGAAAUAUGAAUCCUGAGAAUGUGUUGAUUCAUAAUUUGUUACAGUUAGCCUGUUAAUAAUUAAUUCUGCUAAUACUAUGUAUUUCAGAACUAUGCAAAAAAUUAAGCUCUUCAAGAGUAUCUUUAUACUCCCUGUGUUUAUUUAACUUUACUGUGGAUUGAACUUUGAUUCUGCAUUUGUAGAGGUCAGCACUUCUGAUUGUAUACCAGAAUAGCUUUUAUAAUAGGUUUUUAGAACAAACACUACACUUCUUUUGGAUGAUCAGAAGCAAACACUGAAGAUGUAGCCCUUGGUUUUCUUUCUUACUGCAGUUUUACGUGAACAAAAUAAAAAUUCUUAACUUUUAAGAUGAAAUAUGUAAGAAAGUUAGUAUGAAAUAUUGCACUUCAUGAAAAUAUCUGGUGGAAUCUUUUGCAGUCAACUUCUUGGUAUGUUGGCUGAUGAACUAAAUGAAGCUCAAAUUAUCUUCUUAUGCUGAGCAAAGUUGAAUUCCAUGUACAUAUUGUGUAUGUAACUUGCAUUGCAGAUUUUGAUACUUAUACAAAAAAAUGAAGUUGUUAUGACUUUUGCUUUUAGUGAAUCUUAGGAGAUAGAAUUUUUCUACUCACAGUGAACUUAAGGAGCAAUUACUGGAAUUCCAUAGAAAUCUCUGAUUUUUUUCUAUUGGUGUUGGUAACCAUCGGUGACAUUAGCUUCUGCAACUUCUAAGCCUUCAAAUAUUUUGGCUACAUCGAUGAUUUAUUUAUAAUUUUAUUUCUCCUUAUUCUGUAAUUCUUUUAUGUUCAAUUCAGAAAAGGGUAUAUAUUCCUGUCUACUUACAGACAAGAGCUCUGAUGUACUCAUGGUCUUUUACUGCCUGACAAUAUUACUUUAAAUAAUCUGACAAACAGUAAUUAUGUCAUUUAUCCUUCCCUUUUCAGGAUACGCAACACAGUCAAGAAGCUUGGUCUGGAAGCACUGGUCUUAAUUUUUAAUGUCAACAAGAUGGUGUUACUGUGAGGGAUUUUAUAUGGGAACAGAUGGAUGAAGUCACCUAGCCAAGGCUGAGUCAAAGAAAAAGCUUUGUCUAGAAGCCAUUUUAGUAUUGUCCCAUUACUGUCAAUAUGAGAGAACUGGUAUUUUUAGGGAAUGGAGAAUAGAGUAAUUGCAGAAAUUGAAGAAUGCCUAAUGGUUUCCCCUUUAAAUAACAAAUUUCUUCAUAUGGGACAACUGAAAUGAAAGCAUACCUUUCAUUUGAAAAUUAAUCCAACUAAUUUAGAAGGUAUGACUUAUAUUUUGCAAAUAC